CUACGGGGGGCUCCAGUGGGGAAUAUUGCACAAUGGGCGCAAGCCUGAUGCAGCAACGCCGCGUGAACGAUGAAGGUCCUUGGGUCGUAAAGUUCUGUCCUUGGGGAAGAAACAAAUGACGGUACCCAAGAAGAAAGCCCCGGCUAAUUACGUGCCAGCAGCCGCGGUAAUACGUAAGGGGCGAGCGUUAUCCGGAAUUAUUGGGCGUAAAGAGUAUGUAGGUGGUUUUUUAAGCGCGAGGUUUAAGGCAAUGGCUCAACCAUUGUUUGCCUUGCGAACUGGAAAACUUGAGUGCAGGAGAGGAAAGCGGAAUUCCUAGUGUAGCGGUGAAAUGCGUAGAUAUUAGGAGGAACACCAGUGGCGAAGGCGGCUUUCUGGACUGUAACCGACACUGAGAUACGAAAGCGUGGGGAGCAAACAGGAUUAGAUACCCGAGUAGUC
RNAcentral lists this ribosomal RNA (441 nucleotides) under uncultured bacterium. Its description in RNAcentral is "partial 16S ribosomal RNA". It matches the Rfam family "Bacterial small subunit ribosomal RNA", at positions 339 to 795 of the family's 1533-position model. The record is from RNAcentral.